UACAGAGGGUGCAAGCGUUGUUCGGAAUUACUGGGCGUAAAGGGCGCGUAGGCGGCCUACUAAGUCGGACGUGAAAUCCCUCGGCUCAACCGGGGAACUGCUUCCGAUACUGGUGGGCUUGAAUCCGGGAGAGGGAUGUGGAAUUCCAGGUGUAGCGGUGAAAUGCGUAGAUAUCUGGAGGAACACCGGUGGCGAAGGCGGCAUCCUGGACCGGUAUUGACGCUGAGGCGCGAAAGCCAGGGGAGCAAACGGG
This 253-nucleotide ribosomal RNA is filed under the name uncultured bacterium. RNAcentral's name for it is "partial 16S ribosomal RNA". It matches the Rfam family "Bacterial small subunit ribosomal RNA", at positions 524 to 776 of the family's 1533-position model. The record is from RNAcentral.